Molecule: ribosomal RNA, 497 nt
Filed under: uncultured bacterium
Lineage: Bacteria
Description: partial 16S ribosomal RNA
Rfam family: Bacterial small subunit ribosomal RNA
Source: RNAcentral
GACGAACGCUGGCGGCGUGCCUAAUACAUGCAAGUAGAACGCUGAAGCUUGGUGCUUGCACCGAGCGGCUGAGUUGCGAACGGGUGAGUAACGCGUAGGUAACCUGCCUGGUAGCGGGGGAUAACUAUUGGAAACGAUAGCUAAUACCGCAUAACAGUAUAUAUCGCAUGAUAGCUACUUGAAAGGUGCAAAUGCACCACUACCAGAUGGACCUGCGUUGUAUUAGCUAGUUGGUGAGGUAACGGCUCACCAAGGCAACGAUACAUAGCCGACCUGAGAGGGUGAUCGGCCACACUGGGACUGAGACACGGCCCAGACUCCUACGGGAGGCAGCAGUAGGGAAUCUUCGGCAAUGGACGGAAGUCUGACCGAGCAACGCCGCGUGAGGGAAGAAGGUUGUCGGAUCGUAAAGCUCUGUUGUAAGAGAAGAACGAGUGUGAGAGUGGAAAGUUCACACUGUGACGGUAUCUGACCAGAAAGGGACGGCUAACUACGUG